GGCGGACGGGUGAGUAAUGUAUAGGGAGCUGCCCGAUAGAGGGGGAUACCAGUUGGAAACGACUGUUAAUACCGCAUAAUGUCUACGGACCAAAGUGUGGGACCUUCGGGCCACAUGCUAUCGGAUGCACCUAUAUGGGAUUAGCUAGUUGGUGGGGUAAUGGCUCACCAAGGCGACGAUCCCUAGCUGGUUUGAGAGGAUGAUCAGCCACACUGGAACUGAGACACGGUCCAGACUCCUACGGGAGGCAGCAGUGGGGAAUAUUGGACAAUGGGCGCAAGCCUGAUCCAGCCAUGCCGCGUGUGUGAAGAACG
This 314-nucleotide ribosomal RNA is filed under the name uncultured bacterium. Its description in RNAcentral is "bacterial SSU rRNA". It matches the Rfam family "Bacterial small subunit ribosomal RNA", at positions 97 to 414 of the family's 1533-position model. The record is from RNAcentral.